CACUUCAAACAGGAGCAUUGA
RNAcentral lists this microRNA (21 nucleotides) under Danio rerio (zebrafish). RNAcentral's name for it is "dre-miR-430c-5p". Its record names the gene dre-miR-430c-5p. The record is from miRBase by way of RNAcentral. Lineage: Eukaryota; Metazoa; Chordata; Actinopteri; Cypriniformes; Danionidae.